CAACCCUCAAGCUCAGCUUGGUAUUGGGUGCCACCUGGCUAUGGUGCGCCUUAAAAUCAGUGGCGGUGCCGCCUGGCUUCAAGCGUAGUAAAUCUCUCGCUUUGGAGGCUUGGACGUGUGCUAGCCAUCAACCCCUAAUUUAUCAAAAA
RNAcentral lists this unclassified non-coding RNA (149 nucleotides) under uncultured Leotiomycetes. RNAcentral describes it as "sequence contains ITS2". The record is from RNAcentral. Lineage: Eukaryota; Fungi; Ascomycota; Leotiomycetes.